This 550-nucleotide long non-coding RNA is filed under the name Phoenix dactylifera (date palm). RNAcentral's name for it is "long non-coding RNA (PDAC_LNC002164)". Lineage: Eukaryota; Viridiplantae; Streptophyta; Magnoliopsida; Arecales; Arecaceae. The record is from RNAcentral.
GAGAGAGAGAGAGAGAGAGAAAAGAAUGCAUAUGAUUUUAUAUUUGGAUUUACUUACCUUGGCUUGGUUAUACAUGCAACUGUGUGAAGCACAUCACCUGGCCGUGGAACAGAUCCAAAGGCUAUUCCAUGAGGAAAUAAGGAAAUUUUAUUAUAGAAAAGGAAUGAUCUUAAAAUGAAACUGAAAAAAAAAAAAACAAAAUUUCAAUGUCCUGAUAUUGCCUUCUGUUUAGAACUAUAUAUCAUUAGCUAAAUGAAGAAAUAUUAACUCUUCAAAUAUUAUAACAAAUCUAGCUAGCAAUCUUAUAGCGUAAAAAAAAGGGAGAAAUAUAUUAAACUUACUGCUAUGGGGAUGUUGCGAUGCCGCUUAACUUAUACAUGGUAUAUUUCUCCUAUGGUUGAGAGUUGGAAGAGGUUAUCAGAGUGAUGGAAUAUUUUGUGAACAACGACAGCUUAGAGCUCUCAAUGCUCUCAAUUUUACUGACAAGGAAACCAGUUUUUGAUGAAAUCCAUUGUUUCAAAAUUAUAGUUCUAAAAGCAAGUGAGAGAGU